Non-coding RNA from Carica papaya (papaya), 2030 nucleotides. Lineage: Eukaryota; Viridiplantae; Streptophyta; Magnoliopsida; Brassicales; Caricaceae. The record is from RefSeq and is a predicted model, not a curated record.
GAGUCUGACGACAGGCCCAAAUCUAAAGAGCGAGACAACGUGGUUCGGUGAUAAAUAUAAAUACUUUUCUCUCUUCUCUUUGCUUUCCGACAAACCCCCUCUCCGGUCGUACUACCUUUUCUGCAAUUAUACAAACAAUCUCUUUCUCAAAUCUGUGCUGUGGAUUGUGUAUAUACUUCACUUUUCUUUGUGUUCAUGUUAGGUUUCCGUACAUCAAAUCUCUUGGUUCGGGGGGUUUUAUAAGGAGGGUAGAGGAGACGGUAAAAUUGGAGGGUUUUUCUGUUUGUUUCUCUCUUAGGGUUUCUCUAGAUUGAGUAGAAAUUGGGAUUGGUAGAGUUUCUCUUUCUUCUAAAGGAUUCUUGAGUUUGUAUGAGUGCGAGGAUUGGUGGACUUGGCAUUUCGAUUUUCGUUCUGCUUAGUUUGCCUCUUUGAGUUUUUUCUUUUCUUUUUCGUUGCGUUUGAAGAGGAAAGGAAGUUUUGCGCGCAAUAUAUCUGCUAGGAGUGUUAUCAGAAUUCAAUUUUGGCAUUUUAAUUCUUUUAUUUGCUUUGGUAUGGAUCAGCUCUGUCCUUCUGGAGAAUUUGAAGUGAUGAAUCGAGUUCUCUGUCUUAGGGUUUUUAUUCUGGUAGGAUGUUCAAAUUAACCUUGAAUUUAGGACUUGGAGGUGGUUUUGUUGUAUUUGAAUUCAGGAACAAGGUAGUAAAGAUUGUGUUUUAGUUAUAGUUUUUUAAUUGGGAAACGCAGAAUUCAAGAUAAACAGUUACCCUUGCCUGGUGUUGUAUUCUGAUAUUCAAAUAAGUCGAAGGCUUAGCCAUGGCCUCCUACAGGCCAUUCCCUCCACAAUCCUCCUUCCCUCCGCCAUCAAAUCAAAAUCCUUUACCACCCCCGCAGCAGCAGAGAGGAAACCAGUAUAAUCAAAAUUGGAACUAUAGUGGUAGUAAUGCUGGUGGGGAAGGGUCUACCUCUGCAGCUACUUCUUUUCCUCAGAAUUUCAGUCAAGUGCAGCCUAAUUCUAAUUACCACCAGUCCUACCCUGCUUCUAGACCGCCACCUCCUCAUCAGCAGUACUCUUAUCCACCUCCUCCCCCACCUCCGCCUUCUGAUUCCUCCUUCCCUCCACCACCGCCACCACCUUCAAUGCCGCAAAAUUCAAUGAUUUUACAGUCGCAGCAACCUCCUGCGUAUUAUCAGUCUUCUCAGUAUCCACAAUAUAAUCAUCAGUCUAUGCAGCCACCUCCUCCACCCCCACCUCCUUCUUCUCCACCCCCAAGUUCUUCAAUUCCCCCCCCGCCACCUCCAGGUUCCCCUCCUCCGCCUCCAUUGGCUCCUCCUCAAAGUAAGGAGGCUGGAGCAAAUAAGGGAUCAAAAGAUCGUGAUAAAGGGAUGCAUAGAGAUGUAUCCGAGUCUGGAAGGCGCGGGCACUCUAAUCAUGUGGUUCCAGUGAAACAGCAAAGACCCUCAGUUCCUCCUGGUAAGAAGCCAAAUGAUCCUCCUGGGAGGAUGGAGACGGAAGAAGAGAGAAGGAUGAGAAAGAAGCGGGAGUUUGAGAAACAAAGGCAGGACGAGAAGCACAGACAGCAGAUGAAGGAAUUGCAAAAUAGUGUUCUGCAGAAGGCUCAACUAAUGUCUGCGGGCAAGGGGCAUGGUUCAAUUGUUGGGUCAAGAAUGGGGGAUAGGAGGAGCACGCCUUUUCUAAGUGGUGAGAGGAUUGAGAAUAAGUUAAAGAAGCCAACAACUUUUUUGUGCAAAUUGAAAUUCCCGGAAUGAGCUACCUGAUCCAAGUGCACAACCGAAGCUCAUGGCGCUAAAGAGAGACAAAGAUCAAUAUACAAAAUACACUAUAACAUCUCUGGAGAAAAUGUGGAAGCCUGAACUAUAUGUGGAGCCUGAUAUUGGGAUACCUCUUGACCUGCUUGAUCUCAGUGUAUACAAUCCUCCCAGUGUUAGACCACCUAUGGCCCCUGAAGAUGAGGAAUUAUUGCGUGAUGAUGAAGUUGUUACCCCUGUGAAGAAAGAUGGCAUAAGAAGGAAA